This 492-nucleotide ribosomal RNA is filed under the name uncultured bacterium. RNAcentral's name for it is "partial 16S ribosomal RNA". It matches the Rfam family "Bacterial small subunit ribosomal RNA", at positions 29 to 507 of the family's 1533-position model. The record is from RNAcentral.
AGUGAACGCUGGCGGUAGGCCUAACACAUGCAAGUCGAACGGCAGCACAGUAAGAGCUUGCUCUUACGGGUGGCGAGUGGCGGACGGGUGCGGAAUACAUCGGAAUCUACUUUUUCGUUGGGGAUAACGUAGGGAAACUUACGCUAAUACCGCAUACGACCUACGGGUGAAAGCAGGGGAUCUUCGGACCUUGCGCGAUUGAAUGAGCCGAUGUCGGAUUAGCUAGUUGGCGGGGUAAAGGCCCACCAAGGCGACGAUCCGUAGCUGGUCUGAGAGGAUGAUCAGCCACACUGGAACUGAGACACGGUCCAGACUCCUACGGGAGGCAGCAGUGGGGAAUAUUGGACAAUGGGCGCAAGCCUGAUCCAGCCAUACCGCGUGGGUGAAGAAGGCCUUCGGGUUGUAAAGCCCUUUUGUUGGGAAAGAAAAGCAGCAGGUUAAUACCCCGCUGUUCUGACGGUACCCAAAGAAUAAGCACCGGCUAACUUCGUG